RNAcentral lists this ribosomal RNA (477 nucleotides) under uncultured bacterium. RNAcentral's name for it is "bacterial SSU rRNA". It matches the Rfam family "Bacterial small subunit ribosomal RNA", at positions 335 to 799 of the family's 1533-position model. The record is from RNAcentral.
ACUCCUACGGGAGGCAGCAGUGGGGAAUAUUGCACAAUGGGGGAAACCCUGAUGCAGCCAUGCCGCGUGUGUGAAGAAGGCCUUCGGGUUGUAAAGCACUUUCAGUAGGGAGGAAGGUAGUGUAGUUAACACCUGCACUAUUUGACGUUACCUACAGAAGAAGCACCGGCUAACUCCGUGCCAGCAGCCGCGGUAAUACGGAGGGUGCGAGCGUUAAUCGGAAUUACUGGGCGUAAAGCGCAUGCAGGCGGCCUGUUAAGUCAGAUGUGAAAGCCCGGGGCUUAACCUCGGAAUUGCAUUUGAAACUGGCAGGCUAGAGUCUUGGUAGAGGGGGGUAGAAUUUCAGGGUGUAGCGGUGAAAUGCGUAGAGAUCUGAAGGAAUACCAGGUGGCGAAGGCGGCCCCCUGGACAAAGACUGACGCUCAGAUGCGAAAGCGUGGGGGAGCAAACAGGAUUAGAUACCCUGGUAGCACAGAG